GUGGGGAAUCUUGCGCAAUGGGCGAAAGCCUGACGCAGCCAUGCCGCGUGAAUGAUGAAGGUCUUAGGAUUGUAAAAUUCUUUCACCGGGGACGAUAAUGACGGUACCCGGAGAAGAAGCUCCGGCUAACUUCGUGCCAGCAGCCGCGGUAAUACGAAGGGGGCUAGCGUUGCUCGGAAUUACUGGGCGUAAAGGGCGCGUAGGCGGACAGCUUAGUCAGAGGUGAAAGCCCAGGGCUCAACCUUGGAAUUGCCUUUGAUACUGGACAGCUAGAAUCCUGGAGAGGUGAGUGGAAUUCCGAGUGUAGAGGUGAAAUUCGUAGAUAUUCGGAAGAACACCAGUGGCGAAGGCGGCUCACUGGACAGGUAUUGACGCUGAGGUGCGAAAGCGUGGGGAGCAAACAGGAUUAGAAACCCGUGUAGUCC
This 425-nucleotide ribosomal RNA is filed under the name uncultured bacterium. RNAcentral's name for it is "partial 16S ribosomal RNA". It matches the Rfam family "Bacterial small subunit ribosomal RNA", at positions 354 to 796 of the family's 1533-position model. The record is from RNAcentral.